AACUAUCAAAUGAUUAAUAUCAAAUGAUUACUUAUCAAAGUUCAAGAACGAAAAUCAGAAAGAGAAAAAAUCUGGAAAAGGACACAUGAAACAAAUACAAAGCAACAAACUUGCCCCGUGAACCUGACAGAGAAUCAAUGUUAGGAUUAACUUCAAAUAACUAAUUAUCAAAUCAUUAAUUGUCAAAGUCAAAUCUGUUACCAAGAAACAAGGUCUCAUCCAGCAUC
This 227-nucleotide long non-coding RNA is filed under the name Carica papaya (papaya). RNAcentral's name for it is "long non-coding RNA (CPAP_LNC000232)". The record is from RNAcentral. Lineage: Eukaryota; Viridiplantae; Streptophyta; Magnoliopsida; Brassicales; Caricaceae.